GGGUAUUGUUGAUUUGUUGGUAAUAGAUCUCUUUUAUUAGGCAAUGUAUAUCUUAUCCAUCUUAGGGCCUUGUUUAAAGGCUUGUAAUUGAUCACUAGUCUUGGGACUCCUCUUUCUAGUUCAGCGGCAUUUUCAACAUAAAAGGCUGGACAGCUCCAUGGGCUUUGACUUUUUCUAAUAAGCCCUUUUAGUUCUAAAUCUGUUAUUUCCUUUUUACAAAUUUCUAAAUGUCUUGGUCCCAUAGCAAUGGGUCGGGCCUUUGUUGGUAUCAUUUUUUCAUUGAAAUUAGGCUCAUAUGGUAAAUUAAUUUCAUGGGCCUUUCUUUCCCAAAAGGCAUUUGGGAUCUCUGCACAGAUGCUAUUAGCCAUCUCAUUGUAUAACUCUUUUACUUUUCUUUGUACUAAAGGUUCAUUAACCUUUUCUUGAACUGUUUUGUAUUCUAUUUCUCAUUUAAGAGAAUUUAUAAAUUUUUCUUUAUUUUUGACGUUACUUUUAAGUACAUCAAUUUCUUUUUCUAUUAGUAAAGAGAUAAACUAAAAAAUAAUCUUUCUCUUCUACUUCAGAAACAAUUCCUUUUUCUGUUAUUGAUUUUAUCGGGUAUAACAUAUGCAGGAAUGGGUUUCCUAAUAUAACCGGAUGAGAUAAUCUUUUUACCAAGAUAAACGGGAUUUCAAAACAUAUACUUUGGUUACAGACAACUGUAUUCGACAAUUUGUAUUUUACUCUCAUUUUACUGCUAUCUGCUGUAUGUAACUCUUCUACUGUUUUAGAGAAGUAUUUUGAAGGUACUAAUCCUUCGUUUAUACAACAUAGAUCUGCGCCUGAGUCUAUUAAGGCUAUAGUAUUGAACAAGUAUUCCUUUUGAACAAUUAUAGUUACUCUAGUAUGCCAUUUGUGAGUUAUAACUCGAUCAAUUCUGUUGAUGUACUGGAGACUAUUUAUUUCUACUUGUUCUUCUUCUUCCUUUUCUGCUGUUUCCAUAAUUAAUGGAGA
Molecule: unclassified non-coding RNA, 993 nt
Filed under: Hevea brasiliensis (rubber tree)
Lineage: Eukaryota; Viridiplantae; Streptophyta; Magnoliopsida; Malpighiales; Euphorbiaceae
Source: RNAcentral